RNAcentral lists this transfer RNA (79 nucleotides) under Embleya hyalina. RNAcentral describes it as "tRNA-Asp". The record is from RNAcentral. Lineage: Bacteria; Bacillati; Actinomycetota; Actinomycetes; Kitasatosporales; Streptomycetaceae.
GCUUUGUGGGAAAGGGAGUUCGCCAUGCUAUCGGCAUGGCAGCCGACGCUGCCGCCGCAUCGCGCGCGGCACAUUCCCC